Molecule: long non-coding RNA, 2038 nt
Organism: Tympanuchus pallidicinctus (lesser prairie-chicken)
Lineage: Eukaryota; Metazoa; Chordata; Aves; Galliformes; Phasianidae
Exons: 3
Source: RefSeq, a predicted model, not a curated record
AUCCAUUCUUUUUGGAGCCAGAUUUCUAACCAGCACCAUGGGAGGCAAUCCUAACCCUGCAGGAGAAGGACGUUCCUACUUCAAGCUUCCCCCUUGAGCUGGGACAACAUACAUUGGGAUGGAGGGAGUAGGACUGGCAAUGCUGCCUCUCAUCCCCACUGGGCAGUUCAGUGGGGACGAAGUCUUGGCUCAGGACACCAGUGCUGAUCAGGCUCACAAGAUGCAUCAAGGCUGAGGAGUCAGCUCUGAAUAAUUCCUCUUUGGACCAGGAACUACGUGAAAUCAGCAGUGUAAGCCUAAUUCUUGCCCUGUCCUGGAUUCUACACAGUUAUGUGUACUUGGUAAGGGGUCAACCUGGCCCCAGGGAGCCUCAGAGCCUCAACGCACUGUGAGGAUAAGAGGCUGCCACAGGUUAAACCAUGGGAGUUAAGGCACUUGGCAUGACUUGCAUACACAAUGAUGGACAGAUGGACGAAGCUGGGAUUCUGAUACUGCUGUGAGUUGAUGUUCUCUGAACUUUAUAUCGGUGGGAACCGAGUAGCUCUGAAUGUUUUGUAAAUUGACCCUCUGGUUUGGAAAAGCCAAAGGCAAAUUUAAUGUGAGGUUAAGCAGAGAGGUCAAAAUGAUCUGGCUAUAACGUGAAAGGGUGAAAAACAGCCUUGGCUUCUCAAGGUUUGUUCUCAGGCUGGGAAUGAUGAGGCUGGCUUGCUUCAGAUCCCAGCUCUUUGGAUCCAUGCCAAGGAAGGCUCUUCUUUUUUAGGUUGGUGUAAGCAAGAGCAGCAUCUGACCAAGGACAAGAGGCUCAUCCACGCGAGGUCUUCAACAAUAUCAGGCAGAGCACUUAUCACUUUUCAUUAACAUACAAAAUGGAGCCAAAAAAGGCAGAGCACAGUUUGUUCCAUUUCCACUCUAAUGAGAUGCGUUUCAUUAUUUUCCAGAUCAUUCACCCUUGGUUCAAUUUAAGUUUAUUUUGAGACAGGAUAAUCAGCCUUUUAACUAGAGAAUCCCUGGUCUCCCACUGCUCACUUGCAGUCGUGCCUAAUCAGGUAGAAGGAGCAUUUCUGCUCUGUGUAAAGACAGGGCUGAAGCUGACUUUAAGCAAACCAGAGCAGGCUGCCAUGAUGUGUUCAGAGACGUAAUAAGUGCUAUACUGUGUGUCCCAGAAAGAGGCAAAGAACCCUUGGGUAUGUAAAUAUGAAAGUGAAGAAUGAACUCCAUCUAUAUCCUCAUUGCAUUUUCUACGUUUAAUUAUUUUCAAAUAAGGAGCUGCAGCACUACCAGAAGAACAAGGAGCUGCACCCAGCAGUUCCUGCAUCAGGGUUUCAGCACUUGUUAUCACCACCACGCUUUUUUUUGCUUCCUUUGUGUACCUGUACAGCACGGGGGGAAAGCACUCAAACCAGAUCCAGGGAAAGAAUAUGAAAUGGAACAUGAAUACUGGAAUUAGUAAUUUGUCCAAGACUGGAACAUUAAAAAAAAAAAUUUCUCUUAAGAAAUCACCUUAAAGAUGGGUAAAGAAUAGACUCUAUUUCACUGUACUUUACCAGAGAACAUUUUGUGCCACGAACACAGGAGCUCUCCAGGUAGCUGAAGAAGCUUUUGAUUUUGAUCUUUGUUUCCCAGUCCUUAUGAAGUGAUAGAAAUGGAGAUGAGACAGAGAUGAUAGUUGUUGGCAUUCUGCGCUGGUGCCUGAGAAGGGGAAAAAGCAAAUUUUUUGCAUGUUUAACUCUGCUCACUUCACUAGGGAUGCUGCUGGCCUCGUAAGGCUAUUGUCUUGGUACAACAUGUUUUUGUACUUUUAUGAAUGGACUAUUUAUGUAGAUUCUAUGGAAGAUGUUCAUCUGCUGAAAAACAAUGGAGAGAGAUGAGGAUCUCUUCCACAGGGUUACAGAUGUGAAACUGGAGGGUCCCAUGAGUACUUCAGAGAUAAAGUCCAUUGUCCUUAGAUUCAAAUAGAAGGAAUGUUCAAGUUUUAAACAACAACAAAGCACAACUCCACUGUUUGUUGUCUUGAAUAAACUUCUGUGUUUUCUUUCUG